AAAUUGAAGAGUUUGAUCAUGGCUCAGAUUGAACGCUGGCGGCAGGCCUAACACAUGCAAGUCGAACGGUAACAGGAAACAGCUUGCUGUUUCGCUGACGAGUGGCGGACGGGUGAGUAAUGUCUGGGAAACUGCCCGAUGGAGGGGGAUAACUACUGGAAACGGUAGCUAAUACCGCAUAACGUCGCAAGACCAAAGAGGGGGACCUUCGGGCCU
RNAcentral lists this ribosomal RNA (216 nucleotides) under Escherichia coli. RNAcentral describes it as "partial 16S ribosomal RNA". It matches the Rfam family "Bacterial small subunit ribosomal RNA", at positions 1 to 215 of the family's 1533-position model. RNAcentral also lists the same sequence under 1 other name. The record is from RNAcentral. Lineage: Bacteria; Pseudomonadati; Pseudomonadota; Gammaproteobacteria; Enterobacterales; Enterobacteriaceae.